AUACGUAGGUGGCGAGCGUUGUCCGGAAUUACUGGGUGUAAAGGGUGCGUAGGCGGAUUUGCAAGUCAGGUGUGAAAACUAUCGGCUUAACCGGUAGCCUGCACUUGAAACUGUAAGUCUUGAGUGGUGAAGAGGUAAGCGGAAUUCCUAGUGUAGCGGUGAAAUGCGUAGAUAUUAGGAGGAACACCAGUGGCGAAGGCGGCUUACGUGGGCACUAACUGACGCUGAGGCAACGAAAGCAGUGGGGAGC
RNAcentral lists this ribosomal RNA (250 nucleotides) under uncultured bacterium. Its description in RNAcentral is "partial 16S ribosomal RNA". It matches the Rfam family "Bacterial small subunit ribosomal RNA", at positions 523 to 769 of the family's 1533-position model. The record is from RNAcentral.